This 297-nucleotide long non-coding RNA is filed under the name Elaeis guineensis (African oil palm). RNAcentral describes it as "long non-coding RNA (EGUI_LNC057754)". Lineage: Eukaryota; Viridiplantae; Streptophyta; Magnoliopsida; Arecales; Arecaceae. The record is from RNAcentral.
AUCAAACUCUAAGCAUCUGUCAUAUGUUAGACUUAAUUAGCUCGAGCCCAAUCGUGAAUCCCAUGAAAACUUCUUUCCAUAUUCAUACUGCUAUGGCCACAGAUUUAUGAACUCAGUCUUUUAGGUUGCAUAGGAUUACUUCUUAACUACUACGGCCGAUAGAUCUCCUAUAAGUACACUCGUACUUCUAUAGUAAAUUUACUACAGUCAACAUCCACUACAAGGAUCCAUAUGGUUAGGGACUAUAUUUAUGCGUAGUCAAACUACAGCAACCCCAUUAUGAGCAGUUGAAGCACC